Molecule: ribosomal RNA, 766 nt
Filed under: Staphylococcus epidermidis
Lineage: Bacteria; Bacillati; Bacillota; Bacilli; Caryophanales; Staphylococcaceae
Description: bacterial SSU rRNA
Rfam family: Bacterial small subunit ribosomal RNA
Source: RNAcentral
GAUGAACGCUGGCGGCGUGCCUAAUACAUGCAAGUCGAGCGAACAGACGAGGAGCUUGCUCCUCUGACGUUAGCGGUGGACGGGUGAGUAACACGUGGAUAACCUACCUAUAAGACUGGGAUAACUUCGGGAAACCGGAGCUAAUACCGGAUAACAUGUUGAACCGCAUGGUUCAACAGUGAAAGACGGUCUUGCUGUCACUUAUAGAUGGAUCCGCGCCGCAUUAGCUAGUUGGUAAGGUAACGGCUUACCAAGGCAACGAUGCGUAGCCGACCUGAGAGGGUGAUCGGCCACACUGGAACUGAGACACGGUCCAGACUCCUACGGGAGGCAGCAGUAGGGAAUCUUCCGCAAUGGGCGAAAGCCUGACGGAGCAACGCCGCGUGAGUGAAGAAGGUCUUCGGAUCGUAAAACUCUGUUAUUAGGGAAGAACAAAUGUGUAAGUAACUAUGCACGUCUUGACGGUACCUAAUCAGAAAGCCACGGCUAACUACGUGCCAGCAGCCGCGGUAAUACGUAGGUGGCAAGCGUUAUCCGGAAUUAUUGGGCGUAAAGCGCGCGUAGGCGGUUUUUUAAGUCUGAUGUGAAAGCCCACGGCUCAACCGUGGAGGGUCAUUGGAAACUGGAAAACUUGAGUGCAGAAGAGGAAAGUGGAAUUCCAUGUGUAGCGGUGAAAUGCGCAGAGAUAUGGAGGAACACCAGUGGCGAAGGCGACUUUCUGGUCUGUAACUGACGCUGAUGUGCGAAAGCGUGGGGAUCAAACAGG